Molecule: ribosomal RNA, 497 nt
Filed under: uncultured bacterium
Lineage: Bacteria
Description: partial 16S ribosomal RNA
Rfam family: Bacterial small subunit ribosomal RNA
Source: RNAcentral
GAUGAGCGCUGGCGGCGUGCCUAAUACAUGCAAGUCGAGCGAAAAGACGAGGAGCUUGCUCCUCUGACGUUAGCGGCGGACGGGUGAGUAACACGUGGAUAACCUACCUAUAAGACUGGGAUAACUUCGGGAAACAGGAGCUAAUACUGGAUAACAUGAUGAACCGCAUGGUUCAACAGUGAAAGACGGUUUUGCUGUCUCUUAUAGAUGGAUCCGCGUCGCAUUAGCUAGUUGGUAAGGUAACGGCUUACCAAGGCAACGAUGCGUAGCCGACCUGAGAGGGUGAUCGGCCACACUGGAACUGAGACACGGUCCAGACUCCUACGGGAGGCAGCAGUGGGGAAUCUUGCGCAAUGGGCGAAAGCCUGACGGAGCAACGCCGCGUGAGUGAAGAAGGUCUUCGGAUCGUAAAACUCUGUUAUUAGGGAAGAACAAAUGUGUAAGUAACUAUGCACGUCUUGACGGUACCUAAUCAGAAAGCCACGGCUAACUACGUG